CUCCAUAGUUGUUCUUCUUUUGUGGUAUGUGUUUGUUAUCAUCAAAACCCAGCCAAAUCUAAAGAAGGAAACUUCUUCACAGUCUUCCCUUUUUUUAUGCUGACAAACCAUAUCUUCUUUUGAUAAUUUUGUGCAACAAGGCUCCCCCUAUCUUCUAUAUGUCCCCUUCACGUGAUGUCUUGGUUGGCUGAUUUACAUGAUUUAUGUAUUAAAAAAAAUAUGAAUAUUUAUGGUACCACGUUUAAUAAUAAUAUAAUUUUUUCCCUAUGAGUUAUUUAACAUCAAUAGUAAUAUAUAAUAUAAUUUAUUGAUCUUUAUUACAAUACAUAGGACCCGUUCGUUGCACGGGGCAAAAGUUUAGAGAUAACAAUAAUGUUAUAACUCAUAAGUUUGCAAACCUAAAAAAACCAAAUAAAAUAACAACAAAAUUCAUAGGAAUUUAACAAAACCAAUAAGACACUAAAAAAAUAAAGCUAUGCACAAGUCCUUGACUCCUCUGUCACAAUUGAUGCUCCACUUAUUACUUUCCAUGUCAAUUUGAAUAUAGUUUGCAAUCAAGUAUGUCUACAAUAAGACACAUAUAGAAGAUUUAGUACAUCUUAAAUUAUGUUAAAAGAAUAAGCCUUAAGUAUAUGAGCACACACAAAACAUUAUUCAACAUAUAAAGCAUCAAAACAUUUAUAACAAUACAGUAAUACUUAAUAUAACAUAUAUGUCCAUAUAAUUUUCAACAUGCAUUAUUAAAAAUCAUGUGGUGCAUUCUAAAUUAAAAAAAAAUAUAUAAAAUUAGAUGUUAAGAAUAUCUCAUGUGAAAAUUGUAGCACAACCCUUGAUUUCAAUAUCUUCACAGUGUGCAUUCCAAAUGAAAAGAUACUAUUAGGUGACAAUUCAAGGUAGUUGUACAAAGAAAUCCUUGAAAUAACGUCUGAAAGUGUAAUUUGAAUUAAUCAUUUACUCUUUUUAGUUCCAAACUGAAUUCUAUGUUUCUUAGAUGAUAUAUCAAAGACAUAGGUCAAAAUUAACCUUAAACAACUAUAUUUCUUACACAUAAAAACGAAGGUUAUUACAACACUUUGUAAACAUAAUCAGCAGGUUUCUACAACUAUCAAAUAAGUUGAAGGGUCAGAGAAAUAAAUGGAUUUGUGAAAGAAAUCAUAAGAAUAACAACAUUAUGAUAAAAAAAAAAAUCAUACCAUUAAAAAAUAACAUAGAAUAAUUUUAGUACCUACCUUUUAUUUGCACCAACAUUCAAGUAGAUUGCAAUCAAGAAUUUUAUCCUUGGGACAUGGUAUGCGUUGAAAAAACAUGUGAUAAUCAUGCUUUCCUGAAAUCUAAAAUGAAAACAAAACAAAGAAAUAUUGUGAAAUGAAAACAAAGAAAUAUUUCGAAAAGAGAAGAAAUGUUUUGCAUAGGAUAAAUACAAAAGAAUAGGACAAUGAGCUUACCACCAACAUUGAUAAUAACAAGAAAUAGAGAAACAAAAAGGGGCAAACAAACUUGAGAAUUCCAACCAUCUUUUCCA
This 1522-nucleotide long non-coding RNA is filed under the name Medicago truncatula (barrel medic). RNAcentral's name for it is "lncRNA gene36463". Lineage: Eukaryota; Viridiplantae; Streptophyta; Magnoliopsida; Fabales; Fabaceae. The record is from RNAcentral.